UGGGGAAUAUUGCACAAUGGGCGCAAGCCUGAUGCAGCGACGCCGCGUGAGGGAUGGCGGCCUUCGGGUUGUAAACCUCUUUCAGUAGGGAAAAAGCGAAAGUGACGGUACCUGCAGAAGAAGCGCCGGCUAACUACGUGCCAGCAGCCGCGGUAAUACGUAGGACCCAAGCGUUAUCCGGAGUGACUGGGCGGAAAGAGUUGCGUAGGCGGCAGUUUAAGCGAGUAGUGAAAUAUGAUGGCUCAACCAUCAGCCCAUUACUCGAACUGGGCUGCUCGAGAAUAGUAGAGGUACCUGGAAUUCCCUGUGUAGGAGUGAAAUCCGUAGAUAUAGGGAGGAACACCAAUGGCGUAGGCAGGGUACUGGACUAUUUCUGACGCUAAGGCACGAAAGCGUGGGGAGCGAAC
Molecule: ribosomal RNA, 407 nt
Filed under: uncultured bacterium
Lineage: Bacteria
Description: bacterial SSU rRNA
Rfam family: Bacterial small subunit ribosomal RNA
Source: RNAcentral